AAUAAAGAAGAGUGACAGUUAGGGUAGUUAGUGGUCAGUUCCGGAAGUUAGUUAGGAGCCACGAGUUAGUUAGAGUUAGUUGAGAAGUAGUUAAAGAGGAUCUCUCAUUACAAAUCAAUUCAUUACAUAUAGGGAUUGUAUUACAUUUUGGAGAUAUAAUAAGAAUUACAGGUUUUUCUAUAACAAUCUCUUCUUUUCUCUCUUCUCUCUUCGUCUAUUCUUCUUCAUCACCAUAGUUGAGCUUAGCUUGCUCUGUUUCAGCUCCUAGUUGGCUAUAGGUCUUUCUACCAAUCAAGUAGCAAAGGUGGGAUAUUUUGGACCAACCCGAUCCUGGGGAUUUCAUGCUUCAUUUUUUGCAAACAAAAAAGGUUAUCCCUUUUCCCAUUCAAGAUUUUACUACUUAUGCAAUAAUGAUCAAUGCAUUGACACAUUUUCUCCAAGUAAUGCACAUAAUAUGAUAGUGUCCAGUGGGAUUGUGGAAAUUCCGUCAGACAUUGGACAAGGUUCAUUUUAGCGAGUUGUUACCUUAAUAAUGCUUUAACCUAUACUAGGUGUAGCUUGAUGUAUGUAUAUUUCAAAUUGGAAUUAGUGUUUCUAGAAAGGUUUAGAAUGGUAACUCCCAAGUGGAUAACUUGAGACGGAAAGACACAGAACCAUUGAUUGCACCGCUGAUCAAGUAGUCUACCGCAAAUAAGCCUUUGCGAUUUAAAAGGAUAAUUUUUAGGAAGGCGGAACACUCAUCAAACUCUACUAUGUUGAUAAUUUACACGAGUGGAAUAUGAUGUUGAAAGCAUGCUCAUGAAAGUGAUAACAUAUAGCCACAAAAUUUUGUAUGUUAAGAAAGCACAUACUAAUGAAAUUUAACAAAGCAAAUUAAAAUAAAUAAGAAAGAAAAAGAGAAAGGAAAAGAAAGGCAAAAGAGAGAAGUGAGUUUAACUCAUGAAAAUGCACGAGAAUAUUAUUUAGCAAAUAGGAAAUAGGGAUGGGAGAGUUAUGAUGUAGCAGUCUUCGACUAGAUGAAAGAAACGGAGAGAGGAUGUGCAUAUCAUAGCAAUAAAGGGAAACAUGGAGGGGAUGUUCAAGUCAUAAUAAUUUAGACAAAUAAAGGAAAAUAAAGGAAUGGAUAUGCAUGUCACAGUUAUUUAUACAAAUAAAGGAAAAUAAGGAUAUGCAUGUCAAAGUAAUUUAUACAAGUAUAGAGCGGAAAAGAACCAAAUUCAGAGAAAAAGCUCAUCAUCAGAUAGAAUAUUCAAAGAAAUUGCAAGCCAUAUACAUAUAUCAGCUGGCAGAAGUAUUUGGAAGCAUUGAGUUGGUAUCUUUAGACAAGUUCUUUAUUCUAUCAAAUUUACUACCUUUUGUUAAUAGUGAAGAUUGUAUAGGCAGUAGUUUGUGUAUAAGCUGUAUCUGAAAUUAAAACCUUGUAUAGGCUAUAGUUGAGAAAUCAGUUGUCAAACAGAGUCAAUGAACUGGUCAACAACUCCUACAUUGUAAUGAUCUUUUUUUGGUCAAAUAGAAAUAUAAGUUUACAGAUAAAAAUCCACCUAAGUCAAUUUCAUUAUGGUAAGAGCCUAAGUAUCCUCAGUAGUCCAUACUGUCACGCCCUAUUUUCUCAUGAAAACGGGAUUUUACGUGACAACUCUUUUUCACGAGUAUUAAAAGAUAUGAGUUGCCACUUAAUGAUUUUUGAGGAUCGUUAGGGCACCUAUUUUCAAAUAACUCUGUUUGACUAGUCUGUGUCACUAAAGAUCGAGUAAGGGCUCAAAUUACCUCAAAGAGAAGGUGUUAAGCACUCUUCGAGGUCCAUAACUAUGGGUCUUGAUCAAACAUUAAACUAGGUGGAUUAUGUAAUUAGGCUAGAUGAUCAAAUAAAUAAAAGGAAAUUAGAAGCCGAAGAGUCUUAUUAGAACACGUGAAAAUUGGUACAAAUCUUAGUGACUACCGGGAUAAAACUAUAUUGGUCUAUUUUAAAAGACUAAGUGUAGAUAACAAGUAUAUAAAGGAAAAGGGAGGUCCUAUGUUUUUAUCCUUAAGCCCCGUGCAACAUAAAUAAUACCUUGCAACUCCCAUAAGGCAGGGGUUGCUCACAUUAUUCAGCGAACACAAACUCUCAUCUCCUGCUACCCAGUUACUAUGUUGAAACUUUUUAAUUAAAGACACUCUAUUCAAUUCUAAUUCGUACCCUAUGCGUGCACUACCUAUCCUACACUUAUGGCCCAGGAGGCUUUGGACCUUGGUGGUUCUACACUCAGCUCUAGUAGAAAUGAUAAAACUAGGCGAUGUCCAAAACACGCAAAACUUCACGUAAAGAAAAUUAAAAACCCAAGUUAGCCUUCACACAUAAACGACAAAUGCAAGCGGGCAGUUCAAGCAAUAUAUAAUUUUUGAAUAAAAAUUUAAAGUCCUAUAGGAAAGGUUUCUUGGUGACUCUGGAUUCCAGUAUUAUAUAUGAAACAUAUAGGUUGGUUAAAACAUCGCAAGUCCUAUAGGCAUGAUUUCUACUUGUCUGUGAGAUAAUAAAGCGAUAUGAGUUACGAGAUUACUAAUGCUAAUUUUGUAAAUGUGCACCUUAGGUAGACGUUAAUGUCCUAUAGGCAUGGCUUCUAAUAGUUGGAUGAUCGGAUAACAAGACAACUUUGAGCAUCUACUAAAAACAUUGAUAUGAUAAACCAUUCUUAUGCGCACAACAACAUCCUAUAGGCAAGAUUUCUAACAAUUGACAAGUAAGCUUGAUUUUAUAACACUUUAUUCCUAUAGACAUGUCAUCUAGGCAGGGCAGUACAAUGAAGGAAAUUGUAAAUAGUCGAUUAAAAGAUUAGAAUCUUAUAGUCAUAAUAUCUAGAUGGCAGUGUACUAAAAGUAACAGAAGCAAUUUGACCGAUUGAUUAUAUGAAGUCCUACAAACAUGAUAUCUAAAUUAGCAAAGCACGAGCUAUUUCAUCCUAUAGGCAUAUUGUCUAAGUGUGCACAAUAGUAGACAUGGAAAUAGGUAUAGAAAAUACUUGAACUAACAGACUUUGACUGGUGCACGAGAGUUAGACGUGUUAAGUGAAUUGCGUGUGAUUCCUAUAAGCAUGAUUUCUAUCGGUAUACAGAAAUAAAGCAUGCUAAAUAAAAACAACAAAUAGAGCACAUAGAACCUAUAAAUAUGUUCUCUACCUUUUUAUGUAAGAAGAUACUAUACCCAUUACCCUUUUUCACUAAUUUCCCCAUCAUUCAAUUUUACAACUAUUCUUUAAAUAAUUUCAUGCCCAAAUAAAAAUAUAGGAUAACCGAAUAAUACAUCUAGUCUUUCAGAUUGGCUUAGGACUUCAAGCGAGCAACAGGCCCAAAAUCCAAGUGCAGACAGUAUACUUCGAACCCACAAAACCAAAGGUAGGCCCAAUAUACCGGGCCUAAACGAUUAUGAUGAUUAAGCUAAGGGAUACUAAAUUCAUCCACACAGGUAAUAGAACUACUCUUAAACUGUAACUAGCAACCAUUCUUAUUUGGGCAUAUUGGCAAGAUCAUGCUUAAAUUGGAAAAUGUAUGAGACACAUAUGAGGUAAGUUCAUGCUUAUUACCAGAAAUAGAGUUUAAGAGCAACAAUAUUAUUUCAAACAAAGUUUCAAAAUAGGCUUGGUCCAGAACUAUCUUAUAGAGAGUCUCAGGUAAGGGUUUGAACAUGAAAACCUAGUGGUGUCAUAGACAAGAACAUGUGAGAUACAACCUUAGCAUGGGAGCUUUAACAUGAGAUCCUAAUGAGAACAAUUAACUUGCAGACCUUAACAUGUGAAAUGUUCAAGUAAAUACCAAUCACCAUACAAAGAUUUUACAUCCAACAGGUAAGCAUUCAUGAGAAAAGACUGGCUUUCAGGUAAAUAAGGCAAGAAGGCAUCACAUGAAGGAGGAUGAGACUUAUUUUAGUCGACAUAAGGAGAAAUAAAAUAGACAUAUGUUGGAUUUCACCCUAGAAGACUUAAACGAUUAGUAAGCACAUAACAUGUAAGCAAAGAAACAAGUCUGUCCAGGAAUUGUAAUAGUAUUGGCAUAUAUAAUUCAUAUAAACACAAGUUGAUUCCAAAGAUAUAGCAGGUGUACAUGAAAGACUCAUCAAAGAUACAUUCCAAUAAAUUCUGUACAUGCAUUAGUUCCCUAGGAGAUUCUAAGUCAUGAGUUCAUGAUAGGCAACAAUCUUUAAGUAACCAGUUACACUUAAACAUGAAGAUGAUUAAUCAAUCAGGUUGAACAUCUACAAUAGGCAUGCAUUAAGGCUAGUAAUUUCAAGGAAGAGCCCAUUGGGCUAAGCAUUUAGGCAGUGUCAUCACAUGAUUUGUAGAGAAAUAACAUAUGAUGAAUAAGGAUUAAACAUGAAGAAAACAACUCUGAGCAAUGAUAUAGUUUCCAAGAAAUCCGAACAAGAUGUAAUAAACAUCAAAUAAGUCAUGAAUCAGCUUAGCUAACAAUGUGAAAAAUCUGGACUAGAACAGGAUUGAAACUACAUGAUGUCAUUAAAACAAGUAGGUCAGUACAUGAAGUGACAUAACAUUAAAAUCGAAGGAAUCCUAUUAAUGCUAAUACACAUAAUACAAUCAGAGUGAAGUAAGAUUACGAGGGUAUAAAGUACUAACCAGUUGCAAACAAAGUAAACAAAGAAUGAAAACAAAGAAUGGGGAAUCCAAAAUAUGAGGAAAUAUUGUGAUUACUGGAGAAAGAUGAAACCAAUCCCCAGUGCUUUGGAGUUCACUAGAGCCUCGGAGUGGGCUCCGAGCACUGUUUGCACUGGAGUAGGCUAAUGAACAGAAUACAAUGGCCUUGGCUUUUAGUCAGCCAAACAUCAAAGUCAAGGAAUAAUAUAGAAUGAGUGAGAGUGGGAGAAUAGCAAUAAUAAAAGUAGUAAAAAAUGAGGUCCAUUUUUGGGGAAUUAGGGUUGGGUUUAUAUAGUGUUGAAAUUGAAUGAACAAAUAUGGAAAAAAUCAAUUAAGCGCAAAUAAGGAAAUAUCACGUGCAAAUCAGAACCAAUAAAGGAGAUGUAGAAUCUCAAACCCUAGUUGGGUCCAAUCGUUUAGAAAUUGAAUCAAAGGUGCAAAUCGCUCCUUGUUGUGCGUAUAUAGAUGGAAUACUGCCUAAAAUCCAAAGAUUCUAAUUAUUCCAGUCCGAUCAUGGAAGUGGUACUUGACAAAGUUAGGCAGGUACAUAUGUGAUACGAUAAACAAAUAAAAAAUAAUGGGAGGAGGAUAAUAAGGUAAGCAGAUCAUAGGUGGAUUCCAUUUCUAAGUCAGAGCCGGAGAGAAAUCAGGCAACAGAUGCUAGUGUUUGUAGAAAAGAGGCGAAUGUUCGAGUGAGUGUAGAGGCACCUGGCUAACAAAAAUGGUUUAUAGGGUUAGGGUGAAGGUUUAUAAGGAGAAGGAGUUGGUUUAUUAUGGACCGUUGAUCAUUUAAUGUCAACAAAAAA
Molecule: long non-coding RNA, 5431 nt
Filed under: Nicotiana benthamiana
Lineage: Eukaryota; Viridiplantae; Streptophyta; Magnoliopsida; Solanales; Solanaceae
Description: long non-coding RNA (NBEN_LNC009097)
Source: RNAcentral